GAGCCUUCGGUUGUCAUGUGACCUCACUCUUUUCUCUACAGCAUCUGUAGGGUUAACUUCGCCUGCGGACCCCCCCAAACUAGUUAUUUCCAGCCAGGAAUAAAUUUGUGGCUCGGUGACUGUGCGAUCACCGUCAGGCUGAGAAAUGACACUGACUGUGGAGCCGGAGCGGCCGGUGGAAAUGUCGAUAUUCUCCGCCGGUGACCUUGGUCACUUUGUCUCAUUGGGCCCCAGGCGCCAAAAAAUCCCAGGUCCCAAGCAUGUCAGCGCGGAGCGCAUUACUGUAAAUUCCCAGAUACAAGGCCGCUCACAGCUCUUUGUAUUGGAUUUGUGGUGUCCUGGAGAAGAAGAAUGGCGCACGGAAUCAUUAACUCUACGAUGCCUGGAGUCAUUGUUAAAACCGGCAAAGGAUUAAUUUGACGCCGUAAGAAUGGCGAAGAGUGAUGCCUAAAAUAAGCUAAAUCUUCCAGUUCUGUCUGUGAUGAUAAGAAGGAGGCUGCUAGAAAGUGAUCUGUACAGCAUUGCAGUGUAUGGUGAAACCAGUAGCUAGAGAUGACAAGCUCACAGCUCAGCCUUCCCCUCCGCUUUGCAAAAGUCGCAGAACACGCCCAGUGAAGUUUCCCAUUCAUGUGAACAGGACAAUUCCUAUUGUUUCCUAUGUCAAUUGGACAUAUAGCACAACUAGAAAUGCAAAUGAGCUCAUUUGCAUACUGAUGUAAUGUUGCUCUCACAGUUCUGGUGAUGCUGCAGAAUUGUAAAACCACAUAGAUUCGACGGUGGAAGCUCCAUUAAGAAUUUUCCUUUCAGCCAGAAUGAAAUAUUAAGUAAUAUAAAUCUAAACGUGAGUCUUCAAUAGUUUGUUCACCGUCACGGCCAUUAUAAAGAUAACAUGAUGAUCACAGACAGAAGAAUUCUCCAUCAGUGAUCAACAAAGACUAAAUAAACUCUCAGACUAAUGCAGGUGUAUAGCGGAGAGACGUCCUGACUACCGGAGACACUUAGAUAGAUAAUGCUGAAACAUGGUUUAUUGAGUUCUGUAACUUCGUAAGAUACAGUCGUGACCAAAAGUUUUACGAUUGACACAAAUUUGGGUUUUCGCACCAUUUGCCGCUUCAGUGAUUUUAGAUCUGUUAGUCAGAUGUUUCUAUGGUUACCAACGGACUAUUAUAAGGA
Hyla sarda is the source of this 1173-nucleotide long non-coding RNA. RefSeq lists it as uncharacterized. The record is from RefSeq and is a predicted model, not a curated record. The transcript has 3 exons. Lineage: Eukaryota; Metazoa; Chordata; Amphibia; Anura; Hylidae.